Molecule: ribosomal RNA, 2290 nt
Filed under: Pseudomonas aeruginosa
Lineage: Bacteria; Pseudomonadati; Pseudomonadota; Gammaproteobacteria; Pseudomonadales; Pseudomonadaceae
Description: bacterial LSU rRNA
Rfam family: Bacterial large subunit ribosomal RNA
Source: RNAcentral
UCAAGUGAAGAAGCGCAUACGGUGGAUGCCUUGGCAGUCAGAGGCGAUGAAAGACGUGGUAGCCUGCGAAAAGCUUCGGGGAGUCGGCAAACAGACUUUGAUCCGGAGAUCUCUGAAUGGGGGAACCCACCUAGGAUAACCUAGGUAUCUUGUACUGAAUCCAUAGGUGCAAGAGGCGAACCAGGGGAACUGAAACAUCUAAGUACCCUGAGGAAAAGAAAUCAACCGAGAUUCCCUUAGUAGUGGCGAGCGAACGGGGAUUAGCCCUUAAGCUUCAUUGAUUUUAGCGGAACGCUCUGGAAAGUGCGGCCAUAGUGGGUGAUAGCCCCGUACGCGAAAGGAUCUUUGAAGUGAAAUCGAGUAGGACGGAGCACGAGAAACUUUGUCUGAACAUGGGGGGACCAUCCUCCAAGGCUAAAUACUACUGACUGACCGAUAGUGAACCAGUACCGUGAGGGAAAGGCGAAAAGAACCCCGGAGAGGGGAGUGAAAUAGAACCUGAAACCGUAUGCGUACAAGCAGUGGGAGCCUACUUGUUAGGUGACUGCGUACCUUUUGUAUAAUGGGUCAGCGACUUAUAUUCAGUGGCAAGCUUAACCGUAUAGGGUAGGCGUAGCGAAAGCGAGUCUUAAUAGGGCGUUUAGUCGCUGGGUAUAGACCCGAAACCGGGCGAUCUAUCCAUGAGCAGGUUGAAGGUUAGGUAACACUGACUGGAGGACCGAACCCACUCCCGUUGAAAAGGUAGGGGAUGACUUGUGGAUCGGAGUGAAAGGCUAAUCAAGCUCGGAGAUAGCUGGUUCUCCUCGAAAGCUAUUUAGGUAGCGCCUCAUGUAUCACUCUGGGGGGUAGAGCACUGUUUCGGCUAGGGGGUCAUCCCGACUUACCAAACCGAUGCAAACUCCGAAUACCCAGAAGUGCCGAGCAUGGGAGACACACGGCGGGUGCUAACGUCCGUCGUGAAAAGGGAAACAACCCAGACCGCCAGCUAAGGUCCCAAAGUUGUGGUUAAGUGGUAAACGAUGUGGGAAGGCUUAGACAGCUAGGAGGUUGGCUUAGAAGCAGCCAUCCUUUAAAGAAAGCGUAAUAGCUCACUAGUCGAGUCGGCCUGCGCGGAAGAUGUAACGGGGCUCAAACCACACACCGAAGCUGCGGGUGUCACGCAAGUGACGCGGUAGAGGAGCGUUCUGUAAGCCUGUGAAGGUGAGUUGAGAAGCUUGCUGGAGGUAUCAGAAGUGCGAAUGCUGACAUGAGUAACGACAAUGGGUGUGAAAAACACCCACGCCGAAAGACCAAGGGUUCCUGCGCAACGUUAAUCGACGCAGGGUUAGUCGGUUCCUAAGGCGAGGCUGAAAAGCGUAGUCGAUGGGAAACAGGUUAAUAUUCCUGUACUUCUGGUUACUGCGAUGGAGGGACGGAGAAGGCUAGGCCAGCUUGGCGUUGGUUGUCCAAGUUUAAGGUGGUAGGCUGAAAUCUUAGGUAAAUCCGGGGUUUCAAGGCCGAGAGCUGAUGACGAGUCGUCUUUUAGAUGACGAAGUGGUUGAUGCCAUGCUUCCAAGAAAAGCUUCUAAGCUUCAGGUAACCAGGAACCGUACCCCAAACCGACACAGGUGGUCGGGUAGAGAAUACCAAGGCGCUUGAGAGAACUCGGGUGAAGGAACUAGGCAAAAUGGCACCGUAACUUCGGGAGAAGGUGCGCCGGCUAGGGUGAAGGAUUUACUCCGUAAGCUCUGGCUGGUCGAAGAUACCAGGCCGCUGCGACUGUUUAUUAAAAACACAGCACUCUGCAAACACGAAAGUGGACGUAUAGGGUGUGACGCCUGCCCGGUGCCGGAAGGUUAAUUGAUGGGGUUAGCGCAAGCGAAGCUCUUGAUCGAAGCCCCGGUAAACGGCGGCCGUAACUAUAACGGUCCUAAGGUAGCGAAAUUCCUUGUCGGGUAAGUUCCGACCUGCACGAAUGGCGUAACGAUGGCGGCGCUGUCUCCACCCGAGACUCAGUGAAAUUGAAAUCGCUGUGAAGAUGCAGUGUAUCCGCGGCUAGACGGAAAGACCCCGUGAACCUUUACUGUAGCUUUGCACUGGACUUUGAGCCUGCUUGUGUAGGAUAGGUGGGAGGCUUUGAAGCGUGGACGCCAGUUCGCGUGGAGCCAUCCUUGAAAUACCACCCUGGCAUGCUUGAGGUUCUAACUCUGGUCCGUGAUCCGGAUCGAGGACAGUGUAUGGUGGGCAGUUUGACUGGGGCGGUCUCCUCCUAAAGAGUAACGGAGGAGUACGAAGGUGCGCUCAGACCGGU